ACGUAAUAGAUACCCAGGUAGUCCACGCCCUAAACGAUGUCUACUAGUUGUUGGUGGAGUAAAAUCCAUGAGUAAACGCAGCUAAACGCGUGAAGUAGACCGCCUGGGGAGUACGGUCGCAAGAUUAAAAACUCAAAGGAAUUGACGGGGGCCCGCACAAGCGGUGGAUUAUGUGGAUUAAAUUCGAUGCAACGCGAAAAACCUUACCUGGCCUUGACAUGCCACUAACGAAGCAGAGAUGCAUUAGGUGCCCGUAAGGGAAAGUGGACACAGGUGCUGCAUGGCUGUCGUCAGCUCGUGUCGUGAGAUGUUGGGUUAAGUCCCGCAACGAGCGCAACCCUUGCCAUUAACUUGCCAUCAUUUAGUUGGGCACUUUAAUGGGACUGCCGGUGACAAACCGGAGGAAGGUGGGGAUGACGUCAAGUCCUCAUGGCCCGUUAUGGCCAGGGGCUUCACACGUAAUACAAUGGUCGGUACAGAGAGUUGCCAACCCGCGAGGGGUAGCUAAUCUCAGAAAGCCGAUCGUAGUCCGGAUU
Molecule: ribosomal RNA, 536 nt
Filed under: uncultured bacterium
Lineage: Bacteria
Description: bacterial SSU rRNA
Rfam family: Bacterial small subunit ribosomal RNA
Source: RNAcentral